This is a long non-coding RNA of Lingula anatina, 304 nucleotides long. The record is from RefSeq and is a predicted model, not a curated record. Lineage: Eukaryota; Metazoa; Brachiopoda; Lingulata; Lingulida; Lingulidae.
UUUUCCAGCUUUUGAUUGGUUUUGAGACUGGUGUAGUUGUGUUUUGGGACCUGAAGUCAAAGGCAGCAGAAUAUCGCUUUAAUAAUCCACAGGCUCUGAGGUCCAUAACCUGGGAACAAGAUGGAAAACAGUUUAUGUGUAGUCUGUCUGACGGCAGUUUAGUUACAUGGAACUACAAGAAACCAACAGAACCAGUCAGUAUAAUAUCUCCACAUGCAAAAAUAUCCAAAGAUGGUCGACCAGACCCUUGCAAACCAAUCAACAAAGUGGAGUGGAAGUCGAGCAAAAAUGGGUAAGGAUUAAC